Molecule: long non-coding RNA, 1088 nt
Filed under: Capsella rubella
Lineage: Eukaryota; Viridiplantae; Streptophyta; Magnoliopsida; Brassicales; Brassicaceae
Description: long non-coding RNA (CRUB_LNC004496)
Source: RNAcentral
UUUUUUUUUUGUCAACUGGAGUUUUAUUAAUCAAGCGAAAUAUGAUACAAAGUACAACACCAGAUUAUCUAAUAAAUAAGAUUUAUAUAUGUGGAGGUUAUAACAUAACAAAAUGUUUCAUGGAGUAUGUUAACGCAACUUGUAAACGACACGUAUAAUUGAAAACAAGGACAACAUGUUUAUAAACUCUUAUAUCGCUAACGUUACGUGACGUCUCACUUUGUAUGUUUUCUCUUACAACCUACCCUUUCGAUUUGUUUUGAAUAUAGUUUGUGUAAAGAGCCAAGUUUCAUAUAUAAUUUUUGUUUUUUGUUCGUAAGAAAGUGAAAGGGGAAUCCUAGAAACGAAAAGGAAAUGUCAUUUUCCCUCAAGGAAAAAGCACUAAAAUUCUAAAUAAUGUAUCAGAUAUCUUAUUCUUUUGUCCUCGUACAAUUAUGGAGUUAUAUAUAUAUAUUUUAGUUAGAACCUGAUUUUUUUUCCAUUUCAUUAAGCGUGAUUCCAUUUCAUUAAGCGUGAUGUAAAUUACAGUAGUCGUACGUUUAUAUCAUUAACUUCAUUAGUUAGUAGUUUGUAUUAUUGCAAUAAUGCGGUGGGAUAAUAUACUGUCAUGUGUGAGUUGUUGUAGUUUUUUUUUAUAACUUUUUUGUUUCUAAACUGAUUUGGAGUGUUUUGGUCCGUCAGGAGCAUGUGACACGACAUAAGGGACCAUCACUUGGAUAUAGUCUCGACCAUUGAUAUCUAACCACGUCAUCAGAACAGCUGCGUGGAACCCAUUACAUAUCUGACAUCGACGGCUGAGUAUGAGAUUGGGUGGGACUUGGGAGACUGGCAGAGUCCAUAUGAGAGAUUGGGUGGACUACAAAAGUAGGAGAGACUUCGAUGGUCGCAGUUACUUGCGGCUACCGGACGCAACAAAACCGGACCUGAUGCUUUCACCUUCUCUUGUUUCUCUUCUCUCUUCAUUUGUUCGUCUUUUUCUUUAGACUCUCUCUCUAUCAACACACAAACAAAUACAAAAAAAAUAUAUACAUAUAUAAAAUUUGAUUUUGAUUUCUCUACCUUAUUAUUAGGAUAAAGUAUAACUUUCA